RNAcentral lists this ribosomal RNA (422 nucleotides) under uncultured bacterium. RNAcentral's name for it is "bacterial SSU rRNA". It matches the Rfam family "Bacterial small subunit ribosomal RNA", at positions 355 to 774 of the family's 1533-position model. The record is from RNAcentral.
UGGGGAAUAUUGGGCAAUGCCCGCAAGGGUGACCCAGCAACGCCGCGUGGAGGAUGAAUGUCGUAAGAUUGUAAACUCCUGUUAGAGGGGAAGAAUAGUACCGGUUGGACCGGUAUAUGACUGUACCCUCAGAGAAAGCCCCGGCUAACUACGUGCCAGCAGCCGCGGUAAUACGUAGGGUGCGAGCGUUAAUCGGAAUUACUGGGCGUAAAGCGUGCGCAGGCGGUUUUGUAAGACAGAUGUGAAAUCCCCGGGCUUAACCUGGGAACUGCGUUUGUGACUGCAAGGCUGGAGUACGGCAGAGGGGGGUGGAACUCCACGUGUAGCAGUGAAAUGCGUAGAGAUGUGGAGGAACACCGAUGGCGAAGGCAGCCCCCUGGGCCUGUACUGACGCUCAUGCACGAAAGCGUGGGGAGCAAACA